Molecule: long non-coding RNA, 340 nt
Filed under: Mus pahari (shrew mouse)
Lineage: Eukaryota; Metazoa; Chordata; Mammalia; Rodentia; Muridae
Description: lncRNA (MGP_PahariEiJ_G0005698.1)
Source: RNAcentral
AGAGGGAAGAGAGCGGCAGGAGGUAACGCCAACCAUCGUCUUCCUUUGGCCACAUCAGUUCAAAAAGAAGAUCAAAAUAUAAAGACUGUGUUUCACAGAAAAAAAAUGUAGGUGUAGAUGCUGCUGAACAGUGAUGUCAGAGAAAACUACACUUGAUUCUUCACCUUGAAAUCAAGAUGUGUUUCAAGAUGAUCCUUUUUGGGGGAGAACAAUGAUCAAAAUGCAGAACAACUUAAAAGGAAGAAUAAAGAGGUAAUGUGCAGGAUGUACUGCUCUGGGGUCUUUAUGCCAGUUCCUGUUGAUUUCAGAACUGCAGUGCCAAGUGAAAAGACUAUUGUGG